CUGUGUUGCUUGACGGACACCGACCACAGUGUCAUCAAUUCCAAUCGCUUCACUAUUACUGGAAGGGGAGGAGCUAUCACCUCCUCUGGCAUUCCUUGUGCACGAUCAUUGUUGAUUCGGCAUCUAGCGCAUCGCAACGAUUGUCUAGGGAAAGGCAUCAGAACAGCUCCUAGAUGGAAUUCCUCCGGGCAGAUCACUGUCCUUUGCGUUCUUGCGGUCGAGUAAGGCUUCGGUUGAAGAUUUGGGGGAUGUUUGAGGACUUGGAUUUGGGAUGAGCGUCUCGACGUGGGAUUACGUGUCGUGAUAUACAUUUAAGGCG
Zingiber officinale is the source of this 319-nucleotide long non-coding RNA. RefSeq lists it as uncharacterized. The transcript has 3 exons. The record is from RefSeq and is a predicted model, not a curated record. Lineage: Eukaryota; Viridiplantae; Streptophyta; Magnoliopsida; Zingiberales; Zingiberaceae.